AGCGCCGUAGCUUAGAGGCAAGAGCACACGGUUUGGAACCGUGGGGGCGUCAGUUCGAAUCUGACCGGUGCUA
RNAcentral lists this transfer RNA (73 nucleotides) under Candidatus Latescibacterota bacterium. RNAcentral's name for it is "tRNA-Pro". It matches the Rfam family "tRNA". Rfam says of the family: Transfer RNA (tRNA) molecules are approximately 80 nucleotides in length. Their secondary structure includes four short double-helical elements and three loops (D, anti-codon, and T loops). The record is from RNAcentral. Lineage: Bacteria; Pseudomonadati; Candidatus Latescibacterota.